Xiphophorus hellerii (green swordtail) is the source of this 120-nucleotide long non-coding RNA. RefSeq lists it as uncharacterized. Lineage: Eukaryota; Metazoa; Chordata; Actinopteri; Cyprinodontiformes; Poeciliidae. The transcript is spliced from 3 exons. The record is from RefSeq and is a predicted model, not a curated record.
UUUUCAGUUGAAAAUAAUUUUUCAGUUUCAAAUAAAUGUUUUUUUUUCAGUAAAAUGUUUCUUUCUUUUGAACAAAUUUUAUGGCCCAAAUUUAGCUCCAUAUAAUUCUAAGAAAUAAAA